RNAcentral lists this ribosomal RNA (616 nucleotides) under uncultured bacterium. RNAcentral describes it as "SSU rRNA". It matches the Rfam family "Bacterial small subunit ribosomal RNA", at positions 704 to 1315 of the family's 1533-position model. The record is from RNAcentral.
GAACACCGAUGGCGAAGGCAGGUCUCUGGGCCGCAACUGACGCUGAGGAGCGAAAGCAUGGGGAGCGAACAGGAUUAGAUACCCUGGUAGUCCAUGCCGUAAACGUUGGGCACUAGGUGUGGGGCUCAUUCCACGAGUUCCGUGCCGCAGCUAACGCAUUAAGUGCCCCGCCUGGGGAGUACGGCCGCAAGGCUAAAACUCAAAGGAAUUGACGGGGGUCCCGCACAAGCGGCGGAGCAUGCGGAUUAAUUCGAUGCAACGCGAAGAACCUUACCAAGGCUUGACAUAUACCGAAAACUCGUGGAGACACGGGGUCCGCAAGGGCGGUAUACAGGUGGUGCAUGGUUGUCGUCAGCUCGUGUCGUGAGAUGUUGGGUUAAGUCCCGCAACGAGCGCAACCCUCGUCCUAUGUUGCCAGCGGAUCAUGCCGGGGGUACUCAUAGGAGACUGCCGGGGUCAACUCGGAGGAAGGUGGGGAUGAGGUCAAAUCAUCAUGCCCCGUUAUGUCUUGGGCUUCACGCAUGCUACAAUGGCCGGUACAAAGGGCUGCGAUACCGCAAGGUGGAGCGAAUCUCAAAAACGCCGGUCUCAGUUCGGAUUGGGGUCUGCAACUCGA